AAUAGGUAAAUUAUGUAUCUAAUGUCUGCUACGGGUAUUCAAUUUUGAAUUUGUUAUUAAUGUGUUUUCUAGCUUUGCUCAUCAAGUCCUUUACUACCAUUCCUAUGAUGAGAAAUAAAUGUUUUGUUUAAAUGGCGUAAAAUCAAAUUGACAGUAACAACAAACAACUCACAGACACAAUAUACCAGUAAUAAUAUUUUAGCUAUAUUUAUAUAAAAAUAAGUCAAAUUGAAAAUGUAGCUUGCUCUUCAGAGGUGUAAAAUUUUGCUAAAAGCAAGUCGCCCUGCAGGGCCACCAGAGUACAAAAUUAGGUCGCCCAUACUUAUUUUGUGGUUGCCCCACAUUUUUUACAGUAAAAUGAUAAUGAUUCUAUGUUUUAAGCAAUCAGUUGUUUACUUAACUACACUGCAGAUCCAUGGAUCAUGAUCGCGAUAUAGCUUGGGAUGUACAUGUAUAGCACAUCAUUUUGUUUAAUAUAAUUUUUUUAAACAACUCUAUUGGCUUACCCAUUUAAAUGAAUUACAUCUACGUUAAAUUAUCAAACUAAUUUAGUUAAAAAAAAUUUGAAUGGCAAUUAUGGGUUAUACUAACAGGUAACAAUGUUACCCUUGUCAAAAAAUAACCCACUUUCAUACCAAAACACACUUAAACCAACAUAAAACUGUGUUUUUUCUGAGUUUUUCUUAGCGGAAGUUGGUUUUUGCUAAUAAAAGUGAGUUUUAUGUGCGCUAAACUGUGCUUAACUGAGUUUAAAGUUGGUUAUUUUAAGAAGAUGUGUGUUUAAGCGAGUUUUUUUCAGUAAGAAGUCGGUUUUUUGUGUGUCAAAAGUGAGCCUUUUUAUUUAUGAGUUGGUUUAUGUGUGUUUAAGUGUGUCUUUUUGUUUUAUAAGCGUGUCUUUUACAACAGAAGUUGGUCUUUUUUUAAACAGAAGUGGGUUUAAGCGAGUUUAACUUGGUCUUUUUGUAAAUAAGUUGAGAGCUGCAACGAGGCUUAAAGACUCACUUUAACACACUUUUCAACAAGUUGGUCUUUUGUUUAUUAAUAUAACUCAUCAAUGAAACAAUAAUUCUUCAACUGGGUCUUUGUUUGAUGUUUAUAGCCAUAAAUAAAACAAGUCAAUUGUAAAGGGGCUUUUUUUACAGCUUGUUUGCCAUUGUCCCUAUUGUACAUUUGUGUGCUCCCCAUAAUUUUUAGGGAAUAUUGGAUGAAAAUGGCUCUUUCAGAACAUCACAGGUUCACAGAUGGACAACAAGUAUCACUGACAAAAACUAACAAUGGUCAAGCUUAGUUUUAUACAUGAAAAUGAAAGAGUUUGUGUUUCACUUUGAAUUUUUUCUUUAUGUUUGUUUUUAUUAUAAACAAUAUCUUAUGAUUGUUUUAUGUCUUAAUUUUUUAUUUUUUUUUAAACAAUCUCAUAUGAUUGUUUAUAUUUGUUUAAAACAGUAUUUACUUGUAAAAUCUGCAUAUUUAAAUAAUUAUGGUAUUGGAAACAUUAUUUUGGAAAUAAUCUAUUUAUUUUUGUACAUAAGUUAUGCAAGAUUUUGAUAUAUUCGCAUAUGAUACCAUCAUAUCCAUUUUCUUAAUUUGGAAUAAAAUAAUAAAAUGCCAAACAUUACCUGUGUUACAUAAACUGUCAACAAAAUAACAAGACAAUACCUUAAAACACCCUUAUUUCACACCACUAACAAUAAACAGUUAACAAUCUGUCAGGCAUUCAGAGCUAAACAGGGUACUGAUUAUCUAGGGGUAGAUAAGGCUACUGAUGGGGUCCUAGAGAUAAGGCUGUGUGGAAUAAGAUAUAAGGCUUUUGAUUGGCUAUUGCACUGAGGAAGUUAUCUUUUUGAAAACAACAACUUUUGAAAAACAAGCUGGUGUCAGCAACUGAAUAUUGAGCUAAAUUUAAUUCAGCAACAUUAAUAUAAAGAAGUGAAAGACUUAUAAUGGUAGUGUAAAAUGUCUUGAAAUUCUGUCAGCAUGAAGUAUUGUGUGAUGAAAACAAUGUGUUUUUUACUGCAAUGUGGAAAUCAAUAAUAAGUUGGUUGGAAAGGAGGUUGAACUGCCUGUUGUUGUUUUUGGAAUACUGAAGAACAGUUUUAACAGGUUUGUAUUGUCAUUUCUUCACCCCUUUUUUUAUUUAGUUUAUUGAAUUAAUUAUGAUCAUUAUCAUAUUUAUGUAUUGUCACUGGGAAAUGUAAAUGGAUAAGUUAUUGUAUUGCAAUUUAAAGGAUAAACAACACAUUUUGAAGCAAAAAUAGAUAAACUUACACAUGAAAAAGUGUAAAUGUUGUGUACAGUGAAUAAUUAUGGUUGUGUUUCAUGGUUAUUGUCAUCUAAAAUUUUAUUUAUAUCUAUUUCUGGUUAUUACUGAACGGAUUUCUUUCCCUCUUACUUAAUUAGAACUUAUAUAUUUUAAUUUUGAAGGUUAAACUCUUGCCACAAGGCAAAAUUGACAUCGUUGGGAAGAUCCUUUGGAAAAAAUGUGCAUCAUCGCCUGCCUGAUGUAUGGACUUUUAAACCUGGUUUUUACCCUGCACAAGCUGGCAAACUUGAGGGGAACAAGAGUGGGAAAACCUCGCCCUGUCCUUGACCAAGAAAGCUCGAUUUGUUGAGAGAUCAACUGGCAUAAGAGAUGCUCAAGAGGAGAAGGACACAAGCAGCAUCAAUGGAACAACUACAUGUCGCUCCAGCGCCCGCUUUCCAGGUCUCUACCAGCUGCUUUCCAGGUCCCUCCACCCGCCAAGAUCAGGUCUAGGUCCCUGCACUGGCUGCUUUCCAGGUCCCCUAGCGGUCAAGGUCUCUCCAGUAGCUGCUGUGCAGGUCCCAACACCGUAUGCCGUCAAGGUCCCUCCUUAAGCUGAAAUCCAGGUUCCUCAUUCCACUGCGGUUCAGGUACCUCCAACAGCUGAGAUCCAGGUCUCUGCAGCAGCUGCGGUCUAAAUACUCCACCCGCAGUGGUCCAUUGCGGUCAAACUUUUGCUUUAAAAUCUUCCAUAAAUGUCUAUUAUUUUAUAAUGUAUUGUAAAAAUAAUCUGUUAGUAUUAAUUUGCGGUGUACUAUUUUUGUCAUAUAAACAUAAUUUUCGUA
Molecule: long non-coding RNA, 3084 nt
Organism: Dreissena polymorpha
Lineage: Eukaryota; Metazoa; Mollusca; Bivalvia; Myida; Dreissenidae
Exons: 2
Source: RefSeq, a predicted model, not a curated record